AUGGAAGGCAGCCCGCCGAGCGCCGCGAGCCGCGCCAGGCCGGGUCCGAUGGAGCAGGCGGGGAUUCCUCCCCAGGCGGACCCCGCCACCAGCCCUGCCAGGAGCUCGCGGCCCGCGGAGCGCCCCGGGCCGGCUGCUCACCGCCCGCUUCCCCCAGCGAAAGACUCGGGGAAGCUCCAGGAGGCCAUCCGUGCUGACGCUUCACAUCAGACAGGGCCACUUGCAAGGACAAAAAUAAGAAAUUUAGGAAAUGAAAAAAGACGUACUGGGGAGAGGGGCGCGGGCGCGGCGGCUACUGGGCCUGGGGCACAUCCUGGCGGCCGCUCGGGGAGAGAGACACGCGGGGAGGGCGCGAGGCGGGUGCACGGCCGCGGGUGGGAGUGCGCGCCUGUGCGCGCGGGGCGAGGGCGAGGGCGCGUGCGUGCGACCGCGGGAGAGGGAGGGCGCGUGUGCGGGGAGCGCGCCGCGCCAGCUGCCCCAGAGUGUGGGGCCGAUCCAAAGUGCGCAACCCCCUCACCUGGCCCCCGUGUCAUCCCCGAAAUCCGGGAACGGGGUGGGCCGCGCGCAGGACUUUGGUGGAGUUGGAACUUUCGGUCGCGCUCGCUGCCCACUCCGCUGGCGCCCGGAGGCCCGUGGGGAAGGGGGACUAGGGUGGGGACACCGGGGUCCUGCGGUCCCCUCCCUUUCCUGCAUUUAAGAAGCCGACGGCGGCGCAGAGGCUCCGGCGGGCUGGCGCGGGGCGAGGCGGCCCCGGUGGCGGCAGCGGGCGGGGCGGGCGCUCCGGAGUCGGUGGGGCCCGCGGGAUGGGGGGCGGGGAGAGGAGGGAGUGAAAGGGAGGGGGCACGCAGGGGAGGGAAAGGAGGGAGGAGCCGCGCGGCCCGCGCCGCUUCCGAACCGGAAAGUUGGUCUUGCCGAAGUCCUGCCACCCCGGCGUGCGCACUCCGCUCCGCUCCGGCCGCGAGCCUCCGAGCCCGGCCGGCCGCCGGGGAAGACCGCGGAGGGGACGCGGGGCCGGGCGAGAAGGUCCGGAGAGCGGGGCACCUGAGCCCGAGCGGGCCCGCCGCGCUGAGCUGCGCCGAGAACCGCGGCGGAGCAGUGAAGGCGGCCGGCCGACCCCGCGCGCCCGGAGCAGGAGGCCCGGCGCCCGAGCAGCCCGGGCGAGACAAAGGCGCCGGGUCGGAGCCCUGCCCGCGGCCGCUCGCUCCGGAGGGCCGCCCGGCGGCGGCGGGGGGGCGCGGGCGGCGGCGCAGACACUCUAUAAAGGGCGAGCCCGGCGCGCCGGCGGAGACGGCGCCGCGCGGACGCCGCCAAAGUUUGCUGCCUGCGCCCUGCGGAGGGCGGCCACCGCGGCCCGCGCCGCACCCGGGCCCCGCCAGAGCCGCACCGGGGCGGUCGAGGAGCGCGGCGCCUGGAGCCCGCGAUGUGAGGCGGUGCCGGGCAGCGCGCGCCCCGGUCCCGAGGCGCCGCGGCCCUCCUCGCCGGCGCGGCCGCUAA
Molecule: long non-coding RNA, 1494 nt
Filed under: Macaca fascicularis (crab-eating macaque)
Lineage: Eukaryota; Metazoa; Chordata; Mammalia; Primates; Cercopithecidae
Description: lncRNA (ENSMFAG00000062048.1)
Source: RNAcentral